Molecule: ribosomal RNA, 490 nt
Filed under: Leptodactylus latrans (criolla frog)
Lineage: Eukaryota; Metazoa; Chordata; Amphibia; Anura; Leptodactylidae
Description: partial small subunit ribosomal RNA
Rfam family: Bacterial small subunit ribosomal RNA
Source: RNAcentral
GCCUAGCCGUAAACUUUAACUUACACCUCAAUCGCCAGGGAACUACGAGCAAAGCUUAAAACCCAAAGGACUUGACGGUACCCCAAAUCCAUCUAGAGGAGCCUGUCCUAUAAUCGAUAACCCCCGUUUAACCUCACCACUUUUUGUCUAUCAGCCUGUAUACCUCCGUCGUCAGCUUACCACGUGAGCGUUAUUGAGUGAGCUUAAUGCCCCUACGCCAACACGUCAGGUCAAGGUGCAGCUAAUGAAGUGGGAAGAGAUGGGCUACACUUUCUAUAAUAGAAGAAACGAAAGACUACGUAUGAAACCUAGUCAGAAGGAGGAUUUAGUAGUAAAAAGAAAACAGAGUGUUCUUUUUAACCCGGCACUGGGGUGUGUACACACCGCCCGUCACCCUCUUCAAGACCUCAAACAAGUAUAUAACUGAACUUAGUCAUAUAGAAGAGGCAAGUCGUAACAUGGUAAGUAUACCGGAAGGUGUGCUUGGAAA